This 7849-nucleotide long non-coding RNA is filed under the name Sorghum bicolor (sorghum). Its description in RNAcentral is "long non-coding RNA (SBIC_LNC009812)". The stretch from base 4531 to 4637 matches the Rfam family "Plant small nucleolar RNA R71". The record is from RNAcentral. Lineage: Eukaryota; Viridiplantae; Streptophyta; Magnoliopsida; Poales; Poaceae.
UUAUCCUUGAUCCUUUAGGUCGGUGGAGAUCUUCCCCGAGAGAGAGUCCUGAUUGGGCUCGGCAGGAGGGCGGGCGCCCCGGCCAACUGGGCGGGCGCCCAGUGCCUGGCCCCGUUCGGCCUCCGCUUCCUUCCUGUGUCUUCUGGAGUCUUCUAGAUGUAAGAUAAUUGCGCGGCAUGUUGAUAUCUCUAUGUAAUCCCGAUGUGUGGGCCUUUCUUCCGUAUUUCCUGACAACCCCCUGCAGAAAUAGACAAACACCAAAACUCGUGGAAUUCUGUCAGAUAAAACCCUAAGUCUAGAUGUUGAUUUCAUUUGGAUCCUUUUCUUUGUUUAUUUGAUAAUUAAAUUUGAUACUUAAGGACCGUCAACAAACUCUCCCAAGCUUACCUCUUGCUCGUCCCUGAGCAAGGAUAGACUCAGCUAUGGAUCAUAAGUUGUUGCAAUACCUUUAAAAAUUGACGGUAUAUAUGCUUUUAAACAAAGUCUCAUCUCUGAGUUAGAGUAAACUGUCAAGACUUAAAACUUACUUACUUUACCUUUCACCAUGGGACUUGUAACCGUCACUUCUGUCUUGAGUGGUUAAAAGAUAGAACGGUCUAGUCAAGUGCCAUGUCUCUUAUUCUUGAUCAGCUAUAGCUCUGGAGUUUUUGCAGAUUUUCAAAUAAAACUCAGAGAUUCCUUAUAUGACUCUCUCAUAUCUUUCUUUUGUGGUAUUUCUGGAUCCUUACCAAGGCAGUGAUGGUAUAUGCCUUCUCUCAAAAAGUAUGUGGUAUUUGUGGUAUGAAGCAUAGGGACAUUGCCUUCUCUCUCACCCUAUUCUAAUAAGGCUUGAUAUCUGGAGCUCAUAGGUGGGAGAUAAAAUAUACAUACUUACAAGACAUUUAUUGCAUAGUCAAACCAUGGAUCCAAAGAAACAAGUCAAUAAGCCAAAUCAAGAUGUGCAUGUGUGGCGAAUGAAUGGUGUAUGGUGAUGAUGGUGAUAACAAUGGUGAAAGUCUAAUUCUACUUUUGCUCUUUUGAGGGGAUACAUACCUUUCUUGUUUUUUGAAUCUUUUUGAGGAGAAUGAGAUGCUCUGUAUUUUCUUUUUCUUUCCUCUCAGGUGGGUAUCUUGUACCCCUAAUUCUACUGUCGGACACUUGUCCAUUUUUACCUCUCGUCUUACUUUUUCUUUCUUUUCUUUCGAGGUUUCGGGCACUUGCCCCUUUUUAUUUCCUCGUAUCUUUUUUUUCAGAGCACUCAUCUAUUGAGAUAAUAUAGCAAGUGGUAGUAACAAGAUAAUUUGAGCAUUUAUUUCACAAGGGAAAAACAGAAAUAUUUUUGGCUAUUCUCUCCUGGAUUAGGAGUAGAAUAUUUUUGGGUGGUUCUGGAGAUGGAAAUGGAUGGAUAUAUGUGGAUGGUACUUCCGGAGUAGAAGUAGCAUAUGUGAAUGAACGUGCAAGUGAAUCUUGAUUUAACCACAUGACAAGCUCCUAAGGGUCUACACAGCUUGACCACACUCAAUGCUCAUAAGCAGUAAAUAGUAAAUGUGUGGCUCAAAGUCUAGCAAGCAUGUAUAUAUGGUUGUGGUAGGAAUUUAAACUCUCAUCAUACAGGAACUCAUCAUGUAAUAUUUUAAAGAUUUUCAAAGAUAAAAUUCUCCAAAAUUCUAGCAUAUCUAGGAACAGAUAAACAGCAGCUCAACCUUCCCAUCUCAUAUCCGUUAACAACUUAGACUUCAGAUCAAGUUUUCAUCCCACAAGUUUAGGUCUAGAGCAAACUUUAUAUUAUAACAGUUAUGUCAAAACUUGAGAGAGAACUUCAAUUUUGAAAAUUAGGCAGAGCAACUAUUCAUCAUAUCCAUGCUAGAGUUUUAUUAUUAAGAUUCAGAUUAGCAUAGCCAAUUUAUUUAUUUAUUAAACACACUAAGAAAAAGACAAAUAUAUAUAAGCAUAAAAUCUUUAUUUGGUUUUUCAUAGUUAUGUAUAUCUAUAUUUUAAUAUAGUAUAAGUAUAGAGAUAGAUAGAAAUACUUAUCGGGAUAAAUGGGGGUGCUCUCCCCCAGGCUGAAUUUUGACGUAAUUUCUCUUGAUGUAGCUAGCAGGUGGCAGAGGUGUAUUUGAAAGUUAGCAGCAUUCUGACAGCGAUUAGAAUGUCCUCCGUCUGCUAGUCUUCUUGAUUCUUAAAUUUUGUGGAGCUUAAAUAGACAACAAAGCUUGUGAAACUGAUUAAGUGUUAGCAUAAAUAUCUAGCCUUUAUCAUGUUGAGACUCCUUAAUAAUUAUUACUCCCUAUUUUUAUAAUUUCAUUUUUAUAAAGCAGAAAAGAAAUUUUUAUUUUAUUUUUAUGCCACCACAGUGAAUGUACUUAUGGGUUUCAUACCACUCGUAUACUCACAUGGGGCUUACUAUUUUUCAUAUUUUUAUUUUCUUUUUAGGAUAGUAGAACAUAAUUAACUAAGUAAACUAUUUUAAUAUAAUUGAAAGGGAAAGGAUAACUACCAAGUUUACCUCUUGGCAAGGCGUUCGGUGUUUUUAAGUCCUCCGAACGGGACUCUUCGUUUUCUUCAAUUGUCCUUGGAUUCGUUGGGUGGCGGAGUCGGUACUUCCGGCGGCGCCUCCUCUUCAUGUAUAGUUAUCUUCUCUUUCCAUACCUGACUCGGUACUACGGUCUCCUCAGGAUAGUUCUGUUUAAACUGUAUGUCUUCUGACCUUACCACUUCUCCUUCGUAGUCUGCCUAUCCGUCCUUGAUAAUUUCCCUCCUGUGGUUGCAGUUGCGUCGUUUUCUGACCUGCUUAGAUUCUUCAAAGAUAUAGUUAGGGUCACUAAAAUAGCGGCGUACCUUCUCUGAGGGGAAGUGCAUAUGGACUUCUCCAGUUCCAAUGUAGAUAAUUGCUUUAACGGUGCUGAGGAACGGUCUUCCAAGGAUGAUGGGUGGAUCGUAAUCAUCUUCUCCCAUGUCAAUAACUUGAAAGUCUGUGUAGACAAAAUGAUCGUCUAUUUUGACAGGGACAUCAGUUACUGUUCCUUUAACUUCUCGAAAUGUCUGAUCUGUCAUCUGGAGCUGAAUGUAUGUUGGUUUUAAGGGCAUGGUUCCGAACAAGAGCCGAUAGGUGACUGCGGCCAUUAUGUUGACGUCCAAUCUGGUGUCGCAAGUCAUCUUGUAGAAGUUGUAUCCAUUUAUAGAGCAAUAGAUGCUUGGCAUUCCUGGGUCAUCCUUCUUGGUCAGAAACUGUGACUUAAGUUGAUGAUCUUGACCUCCAUGAACUGUAGUGAUCAUCUUAGCUGACUCGGUCCACACUUGCUUGUUCCUGUUCCUCCUGUUGGUCCUCUUCCUUGAUUCACGUCUGGAUUGAUCUGGGAUUUGUGUAGUCUUGUUCUUGAAGAAAAAUGUCUCCUUUCUCCCUUUGAUGUAGAAACUGAUCUUGGCAGCACUAGCGUAGAUGACAGCUCCUGCGGUGUUUAAGAAUGGCCUCCCUAAGAUGAUGGGUGCCCUCUCAUCAUUACCGGUCUCUACCACUACGAAGUCUGCUUGGGCAUAUAAGGUACCAACUCGGACACAAAGGUUCUUCAAUAUUCCUUUUGGAAAACUUAAUGCCUGAUCUGCAAACUGCAAACACAUGGUUGUCUGUAAUAAAGGAUAUGUAAAGAAUUUUUCAUAAAGUACCCUGGGUAUAAUGUUGACGCUGGAGCCAAAGUCGCAGAGUGCUUCUGGAACGUCCACCAUGCCGAUGGAGAUCGGGAUGACAGGGCGUCCUGGAUCGCCUCUCUUGACCGGCAGAAGGCCAGUAGUAACUUCAGUGACGGGGUUACUCCAGUUAUUACCUGCAUCAAACAUGUCUACAAGAUUUGCAGAUUCUAAUCCUUCCGGUUGUGAUGGUAUACCGGGGUUAGUAGUAGGAACAGCAGCAGCUAUUUGAUUUAACUGAGAUUCAAUCAUUUUAUUAAAGCUAAUUUGAUUCUUGAUGGCAGUAGAGAAAUUAUCCAUUCUAUUAUUUAUAUUUUCUAACAUUUUAUCAUUAGAUGCCAAUUUCUUAGAUAGGUUAUCCAUUAGCUUUCCUUGAUUAGACACUAACUCUCUCAAAGGUGGAAAAUUAUUAUUAUUGUUGUAAGAAUUGUUACCAUGAUAAUUACCUGAGUAGUUAGGCCUCUGUUGAUUCCAACCUAGUUGUUGUUGUAGUUUACAUCCUCAAGCAUCUCAGGGCAGUGAUUGUCUGAGUGUCCAGUAUCUCCACACUCCUCACAAGUCAUGUGAGAGUCGUAGAUGUGCAUAACUUCUUUCUUAUCUCCAGCUCUAUCAUCGAGCUUCUUUAUGAGCAGGUCUAGCUUUGCAGACAACAUGUCUACCUCCUUGAGCUGAUGCAUACCUCCACCUCUCUUGCGUGUCUGGGUCCUCUCUUCAUUCCAGCUUUGGUUGGACGCCAUCUUCUCCACAAGAGCUGUGGCUUGUGAUAUGGUAAGUGAUAGGAAUGCUCCUCCAGCUGCAGCAUCCAUGGUUUCUCGGGCACUGUUGCCGAGCCCAUGAUAAAAUGUCUGCAUCAGUAGCCAACUCUCCAUUCCAUGAUGGGGACAUUCUAGGAUGUAGUCUUGGAAGCGCUCCCAUGCUUCUGGAACAGAUUCGUCAUUUUGUUGCUGAAAACUUGUAAUCUUCCCACAGAGAGCAUUGGUCUUGCCCAUGGGAAAGAACUUAGCCAGGAAGUUUGUUGAGCAGAGUGCCCACGUAGUAUUCUUCUCCUUUGUAGCGUAAAACCACUGCUUCGCUCUUCCUAACAGUGAGAAUGGGAAGAGGCGAAGUAGUAUAGCAUCUCUGGGAACUCCUGAAAUGGUAAAUGUGUUGCAAAUCUCCAGGAAGUGUUGGAGAUAAGCACUAGCAUCUUCGUGUGCCUUCCCACAGAACUGGUUGGAUUGCACCAUGUUGAUAAGUCCAGGCUUGAGCUCAAAGUUGCCAUCGAUCUCUGCAGCAGGUCCAGUGCGGAUGUUGUCCGUAGUGGGAGCUGAGAACUCGCGGAUUGAUUUGUUCGCCAUGGCAUCGAACUCUGAAGACAAGUUCCGGUGAUCUUCUUGAUUGGAUGAAGCUUCUUGCUGAAGUGUUGAUGAUCUCCUCUUGAGCUUAGCUCUUGUUUUUUCUAAAUAACGCUUCGGGAUUGUCAACAAAAUUUCCUGGAAGAUGUCUUCUAUUCAUACAUUCCCCUGCAUAAGAUAAAAAUAGAAAAUAUCGAGGUAAAACUGUAUGAGAGUAUAGAUAAGCUCAAUCACAUUAGUGAUGCGAAUGAUAACUCAAAAUCCUAUAUUCAUUCCUGAUUAGUAAUCAACCUUCCCCGGCAACGGCGCCAAAAAUGCUUGUUGGGUAUUCUUAACAUCAUUACCAAAAGUAGACAGUUUUCUAAAUCUGAUAACGGUGCCAAAAAUGCCAAACCUAUCCCUCACACCACUUAAGCCAAGUUGUCAUCCCCAGCAUGACAUGAGAGACGCGGUAUUGAAAUAUGCAAUUGCUCUUCUAAAUAAAUAAUGAAUGGAAUCUGCAAGCGCACAGAUUAAUACCGAUGUAGCAUUUUAACCGGGAAGUAUUCCAGGUAUCGUUAUUUAUAUUUUUACCACUGAGAAGGGAUUAACAAUCAUCAAUAUUGAUUACAGAAUAGAAUAUGAGAUUGAGUAUCUAUCAUUGCAUGUAUAAUUGAGAACAUUUAUCUAACUCUUUCAUACAGGGAUAAGUGUCACAUAAAAGAUAUAUGAAGUAAUGAAUAGUGACAAAGAUAAUCAUAACUUAGCCACAUAAUAAAUAUGAUAAGCACCUCAAUUAGAUACUCUAGAAAGUCAUUAGCAUGGAAUUAGAACGAACUACAAGAAUAUUUCCUAAGUUAUUCUCAACUAUAUAGUCUAGCAUUAUCAUAAUUAGUGCAAGCAUACUUAGCAAUCAUUGCGAGACAAGACUACGCCCAUGCAUAGUGAUAUUAGCAAGGUAAAUGAGAAACAUAGCAAUCACUCCCCUGUAAUAAUAUUGCUCUGCCAGCCCAAUACACGAGAGGGGGACUAUAUAAGAAUCAAUGAAGCUGUCACUAUCACAAACUACCCCACGAUCUGGCAUAUUGGGAACAAUCGCAGAUAAAUACGGUAUAAGCACCACGCCUACACAAUAUCUAUCAUUUACCCAUGGAUCUGAUGGAUAAACGCUAUACGAUCCCAAGCAUGUAUAUAGAUCCAAUCUAACUAAGCCAAGUACAUAACUAUGAUAAACUAAGAACAAUAUAAUCUUGAAUAUAAACAAGUAGAGCAAAGUCAUAAGCAAUAUAUUGAAGUAGAACAAUGUCAUAUUCAUAAUAUUGAAGAACAAAGAUAAUUAGAAGAACAAUUAGAAGCACAAUUAGAGAAUUACCAAGAAUCCUCUUGACAGAUCCGGAAACCAAUCGAAGAUUGACUCCUUCUAGUUCUAAUCCUAUGUAGCUAUGCUAAUCUAGAUAUCUAAUUGAUGUGGUGGCUCUAAUCUUUAUCAGAGGCUUCUUCUCCCUUGAGGAACAAUGAAUUAGGGUUGAGAGACUCUCUCCUCUAGGGGCCAGGGGGUCUGGUUUUAUAGUCCCUUCAAAUGAAUAUGGGCCGCUGGAUCAAACCGACCUAGAUAGAACGGUUAUCCUUGAUCCUUUAGGUUGGUGGAGAUCUUCCCCGAGAGAGAGUCCUGAUUGGGCUCGGUAGGAGGGCGGGCGCCGAGUGCCUGUCCCCGUUCGGCCUCCGCUUCCUUCCCGUGUCUUCUGGAGUCUUCUAGAUGUAAGAUAAUUGCGCGGCACGUUGAUAUCUCUAUGUAAUCCCGACGUGUGGGCCUUUCUUCCGUAUUUCCUGAUAACCCCCUGCAGAAAUAGACAAACACCAAAACUCGUGGAAUUCUGUCAGAUAAAACCCUAAGUCUAGAUGAUUUCAUUUGGAUCCUUUUCUUUGUUUAUUUGAUAAUUAAAUUUGAUACUUAAGGACCGUCAACAAUUGUCUUAGCAAACCGCCUGUGAAAAUAGAUUUCCACACAGGCGGUUCUCAGUUAACCGAAGUGCAAAAAUUUAUUUCUACUAGCCCUUAGCACCGGUGGUUACAGAAAAUGCUUGUAGAAAUGUGUUUAGAACCGCCAGUACAAAGCUUUGUUGUACUAGUGAAUUAUUAAAAUAAUAAGGGAUAAAAAAUACCCUAUUCCCAUAUCAUUUUCUUUUUUAUUAUUCAUUUUGUUUUCUUUCGCUGUCUUCUUUCUCAUUGUGCCCGAGAGACUACAUGCAGGGGGAUGCCCCGGUGACUACGUCCCAUGAAGCCGCACCUCAUCCCCACGUCGGUGGCUGCACCAUGGCCCCAUGCCAAUAGAUGUGCCAUGGUCCUGUGUCGGUCGCCGCGCCUUGACCUAGCGCCCUGGUAGGUGUACCCCAACCGUACACCCCCACAGUGGUAGCCUUGGCCCUGCGUCCUAGCUCCAUGACUCCCUCGCCGGCCGACUCUGCCCAGCCCCACACCUUCCCUCUUUCGGUUAGCUCCCCAUGGUGGCAAUCUCUCCAUCCUCGUGCCCUGGCUCCAUACCACUUGCUGGCUGGCUCGAGGCCUAUCUCACUUGGCCGCCUUCCAACGACAGCCCACCCAGAUGCGCCUGGCACUCAUCAUCACACUCUCCUUGCCCAACACUACUAUAGAAAAAAGCAACCAUGGAGGGCAUAAGUGAUUAACCAAAGCGUUUUUACAACCGCCUUGGAUCAAAGGUCUUGAUAAAUCAUGAUCUUUACCGAGGUAGUUGUCAUGCCCACCACGGUUAAUCAAAUAAAAAAAGAAAACAAAAUCCAUGAAUUGGCCCGGUGAGCCCAUCCAUGGGCCCACCAAGCCCAUCAUGGGUUGCCGACAUUGCUGUCGCUCGCAGU